Molecule: ribosomal RNA, 462 nt
Filed under: uncultured bacterium
Lineage: Bacteria
Description: bacterial SSU rRNA
Rfam family: Bacterial small subunit ribosomal RNA
Source: RNAcentral
GGCCGCGGGAAUUCGAUUCAGGCCUAACACAUGCAAGUCGAGCGGCGGCGCGGGGGCAACCCUGGCGGCGAGCGGCGGACGGGUGAGGAAUGCGUCGGAAUCUGCCCAGUCGUGGGGGAUAACGUAGGGAAACUUACGCUAAUACCGCAUGCGCCCUAAGGGGGAAAGCGGGGGACCGAGAGGCCUCGCGCGAUUGGAUGAGCCGACGCCGGAUUAGCUAGUUGGUGGGGUAAAGGCCCACCAAGGCGACGAUCCGUAGCUGGUCUGAGAGGAUGAUCAGCCACACUGGGACUGAGACACGGCCCAGACUCCUACGGGAGGCAGCAGUGGGGAAUAUUGGACAAUGGGCGCAAGCCUGAUCCAGAAAUGCCGCGUGUGUGAAGAAGGCCUUCGGGUUGUAAAUCUAAGGGUCCGGGAAGAAAACCCUGGGGCUAAUACCCACGGGGAAUGACGGACCGAAGA